GAGCAUACGCAGCGCGGGGCUGCUUUUGCUCUUGGGACUCGUGAAAUGACUUAUCCACCAUAUUGUGGCACUGAACAGCAAUGUAGCAUAUAGUAUAAACUGGUCCGGUGCCUCUUCCCCGGGCCUGGACAGUUUAGUUUUAUAUUAUUAUUUCCAUUCCCUUUUUUAACAGCCUAUAGCAGUUUUAUGCUUCUUUGUUCUGCAUUUUACUUGUGAGCACAGUAAAAAAUGACCUUUACAUUGGAAAGCUCGGGGUCAGUUUUUCACAAAUCCACCACCAGCUGAGGUGUCAUCUUUGUGUCAGUGGGGGCAGAUGAAGUAACCCCCACCGCUGCUGGUGCUCU
Molecule: long non-coding RNA, 344 nt
Filed under: Daucus carota (carrot)
Lineage: Eukaryota; Viridiplantae; Streptophyta; Magnoliopsida; Apiales; Apiaceae
Description: long non-coding RNA (DCAR_LNC005845)
Source: RNAcentral